RNAcentral lists this unclassified non-coding RNA (405 nucleotides) under Capitanopsis brevilabra. RNAcentral describes it as "Dauphinea brevilabra partial contains external transcribed spacer and 18S ribosomal RNA". Lineage: Eukaryota; Viridiplantae; Streptophyta; Magnoliopsida; Lamiales; Lamiaceae. The record is from RNAcentral.
GCAGCGACAACGUCUCCUGCACGCCUCUUCAUUGUUNGGCACAAGCCCGGCUUGUCCGCUAUCGGUUUUCCUGUAUUGCAUACCUAUCNCGACGGCAUUCGGUUGGCUAAAAGAGUCCCAUCUCCGCCUUGAGUUGCUGCUCCGUGCGAGCGAGCGGCUUCGGGUGGAUCUCAUGGCAUUCAUCGUGUUUCGGACCGCAUUCACUCAUUUUGGUGUUUGGGUAUACGACCCACGAUGCAUUGCCCGUUGUCUCGGGUACGGAAUAUCGGGUGGGUACGAGGCCUUUGGCCUCGGAUCACCACACGAAUGCGUUCUACGCUUUUUGCGAACGACGGUCGGUUCGAUCUUUGGCUGGGCUCUCGUGGCUCGGUUGGAGUCGCGCCGACGUCGGAGAGGGAUGCUACC